Long non-coding RNA from Ctenopharyngodon idella (grass carp), 3123 nucleotides. RefSeq lists it as uncharacterized. The transcript has 4 exons. NCBI's taxonomy places the organism in Eukaryota, Metazoa, Chordata, Actinopteri, Cypriniformes, Xenocyprididae. The record is from RefSeq and is a predicted model, not a curated record.
CAAAGCCCUCACAACAGCAAAAAACAGGCUUUUUGCCAGCUAGAUAACAGGCGGGAUUCGGAGGGCCAUUUUGUUAGCCAUCGUUUCCUCUCAACAUUCCUCCAGGAGCUGUGAGAUGGGGAGAGUAUUGCUGACUGCUACCAGAAAUGCAAUUACUGUGGGGAGUAGGAAGCCAGGAUGCACAACACUGUGAGGGGAAAUGUAUAUUUUAUUAACUUACAACCCUGACCUUUCCAUUGUCUCACAGGAAUUCUUCAGACAUCCGGAAUGUGUGCAAAAGUCUGUUUAAUAGAGAGAGGGAGUCUCUCAUAUAGCCUAGAGCAGGUGUGCCUGGUGACAAGCUUUGAAAAGAUGCAGACAGAAAGCAGAGGAUGUUUAUCUAUGAUGAAGUCCAUGCUUCACAUUUUAGGGGAAGCAUCUCUGAGUAUACAGCAUGAAAUAUUCCUCCGAGCCCCAUCAUCUCACGUUCAGUUGGGGAGACUGAGACCCCUGAAGACUGAAAUCCAAGAAUCACCUCAGGGGUAUUUUCAUCUCUUGGCCACCUGGGUACCUGAGCCCAUCGGGCUGGAACAGCAGUCUGACCGCGGUCACGCCCAGGGGAAGCGGUGACGGCACGGAACCAUCUCUCACUGCACACCUGUCAUGUGUUUCCCACCUCUGGAGAAAAAGAGACAGAGACAAAGAAACAGGCGGAUAGAGAAAGAGUAGAAAUUGUUUGGAAAGAAUAACUUUGCAUUAGCUAAUACCAUUUUUUUUUUCCUCAGUGAAAUAAAUGGAUUACACUUUAUUUUAAGGUGUCACUGUUACAGUGUAAUUAUGCAUUUAAAUACUGAGUGAUAAUAAUUAACUUAAUGUACUUACUAUAGAAUUAGAGUUAAGAUUGGGGUUUGGUUUAGGGUUAGUUGCAUGUAAUUAUGCAUAAUUGAUCAUUAUUACUACAGUAGCUACAUGUAAGAUGUAUAACAAGGACACUGUAAAAUGAAGUGUUACCAAUAAAUGUACUAUAUUUUAGUUUGAUAAUGUUUUUUAUUAUUUAAUAUUUUGUAUUUUAGGGGAUUUUAUGGUACUAAAUUAUAUUUAUGGAAUAGUUAUGAUCCAUUUAUUACCUGUUAAUCAAUUUUUGAGCAUAGACCUGAAAAUGAAAUUUCCAAAUUAAACUGUUGUAAAUCUUGAAUGCUUUAGAGAACAUACUCAGGUUUGGUCUGUUUUUAAAGAAGACACUUGGUGGAUUAUUGCUAAAGUGAAAAAAGUGAAAAAAAAGUGAAAAAAAAAAAAAAAAAAAAUUUUUUUAGGUUUACUAUUAUGAAAAAAUGCAUAAAAAUACUAUUUUUAAAGUUGAAAUGAAAUAUAUAUUUUCCAAAACAUGUUUUUACUCUAAAACUGAAAGAAAAACAAAGCCAUAAUUCUAAACAAGUUGUGUUCCAAAUUUGAGGUUGAUAUCUCAAAAAAUGAGCUUUCAGUAAAAUUUAGUUUGGAUGCAUUACCAAACAUUUUCACUAUAUGAAAUUUGCUUCCUAUUUGUUUCCAAUGCGGCCAUUUUUGACCGCAAACAGUACAAGUGUGACUAUUUUUUUUCAGGAUCAUUUAACCUUUUCGAAUCAUGUCCAUGAUUUUGUGUGUUUACAUAGCAAGUGCCAAAACCUUUCCCAAUUUUUGUACCAUUUCAUUGAACGAUGAACCACCAAAACAUAAAUUUUUUUGGUUGAAGAGCACCAUGGGGUUAAAAAAAAAAGACAAAAAAAAAAAAAAAAAAAAAAAUGAAGUACAUGCUAAAUACACGUUAGUGACUGAACUGCACCAAAAGGUUAAUAAAACAGAGGCAGACUAUAUUACCACAGAGGAGGGGGGUUCCUAUUAAUUUGGCAGAAUUAAUUGUGUUUUCAGAUCCGCAAGGUCCAUAUUAAGCAGUGUUCCAAUAUUUACAGUCCAUUGUAAGUUAAACUAAAAUGACAAAUUAAAUGUUGGGAUUAUUUGAACUGUACAGCUCAUUAAUUUUUUGUUAGGCUAAUCAUCAGAUAUUAAACGUGGCGGUACAGUGUUUUACAUCUGGCUCUAAAACAUUCAAGACACCUGAAAACAAUAUGAACCGUAACAGAUGCGACAGACAACUGGAACAAAUGUGCUUUUCGCUUAAAAGGAUAUUUUAAUGCCACAGGCUCUCUCUGUCUUUCUCUUUUCCUCUCUCGGAUGGUCCGUACACAGUCAUUCUGGCUGGGUGACAAAUUGAGUUAAUUUUCCAGGCUUCCAGGGAAUGCCGGUGGAUCCUGUAAGGAAAGGGCACAGGGCAUCACAUAUGAGCACAAGACAUAAUCUCCCAACGCAUGUGAGCUGGAUCACAUCAUGCUUGUGUUGGCUGUGUGCACCUCACUUCACUACAGCAAUCAGAGAGCUGGAAAUCAAAUGGUGGAAAAUGGAAAUUGUAGAUGGGUUUUUUUUUCUGCUGGAGUAUCGUUAUGAAUAAAAGAUCAGGGAAUUAUUCAGUCUUAUGGGGGUUUAUAUAUGUUUCAUGUGUCUCUGUAUUUGUUAGUAUGCAUGUAAGAGCAUGUGGGUGCGUAGAUAGCAAAAAGUCGGAGACAUUUUUAUUCAUUUCCUUCGCACAGUUAAUUUCAACAAACUGGUUCAAAAACAGAUUUAUUUUUAUCAUUUGGUUCUUGGAACUACCUGCACGACAUUUUAUGCAUUCAUUUUAUUUUAUUUGUAUUGAUUUAUUUAUUUUGUUGUUGUUUUUUUUUGAAGAAGAAUAACAUAAAACAUUCAUUUAAAAACCGCAGUCUUUCAGUGAGGAAUGCUAUGGGUCAGGUUCUUGUUUGGUCUUGUUUAGUUUUAUCAGCUUAAUAAUUAGUGUAAAUUGUUUGCAUAUGAAAUUAAUUUAUCUGCAUUAUUACAGUUUCCACCCUGUUUCUGUACCAGCUCAAUAUUGUUAUUUUAGUGAAUUAAUGAAUUAAAUGUAUUUAUUAAAAAAAAUAUGUAUGUGUAUUAUACAAACUUUGAUGUUGCUACCUUAAAAACCAGAUGCUAUCAGUGGAAAUCAAUCAAAGAGAGAAAUUCAAAUUCAAAACAUAUCUGAAGAAGACAGACUUAAGGCCAAGACAAAAAAAGAGGUCAUUUUGAUUUUUUAUAUAU